AGUGAACGCUGGCGGUAGGCCUAACACAUGCAAGUCGAACGGCAGCACAGUAAGAGCUUGCUCUUACGGGUGGCGAGUGGCGGACGGGUGAGGAAUACAUCGGAAUCUACUUUUUCGUGGGGGAUAACGUAGGGAAACUUACGCUAAUACCGCAUACGACCUACGGGUGAAAGCAGGGGAUCUUCGGACCUUGCGCGAUUGAAUGAGCCGAUGUCGGAUUAGCUAGUUGGCGGGGUAAAGGCCCACCAAGGCGACGAUCCGUAGCUGGUCUGAGAGGAUGGUCAGCCACACUUGAACUGAGGCACGGUCCAGACUCCUACGGGAGGCAGCAGUGGGGAAUAUUGGACAAUGGGCGCAAGCCUGAUCCAGCCAUACCGCGUGGGUGAAGAAGGCCUUCGGGUUGUAAAGCCCUUUUGUUGGGAAAGAAAAGCAGCAGGUUAAUACCCCGCUGUUCUGACGGUACCCAAAGAAUAAGCACCGGCUAACUUCGUG
Molecule: ribosomal RNA, 492 nt
Filed under: uncultured bacterium
Lineage: Bacteria
Description: partial 16S ribosomal RNA
Rfam family: Bacterial small subunit ribosomal RNA
Source: RNAcentral